CCCUUGCAAAGGUCUGAAGCGAAGAACGAGAUCUGAAUUUAUGAGGGACUUGGAAGAAGAUUUAAUCCUCCAGCACUCCAAGACUCGGCUCUGCCGGGGAGAAGCCCAGGCUCCUAUCAGGCAUUCCCAAAUUCUCCUGGAAUUUGGAAUAUCAGGGAAUGGAACAAAAUGGAAUCGUCAGGGCUGGUCUCUGACCUGCCAGCCCAGGUCCUAGACA
Molecule: long non-coding RNA, 217 nt
Organism: Motacilla alba alba
Lineage: Eukaryota; Metazoa; Chordata; Aves; Passeriformes; Motacillidae
Exons: 3
Source: RefSeq, a predicted model, not a curated record